Molecule: non-coding RNA, 24 nt
Filed under: Arabidopsis thaliana (thale cress)
Lineage: Eukaryota; Viridiplantae; Streptophyta; Magnoliopsida; Brassicales; Brassicaceae
Source: RNAcentral
UGACUUGACCAUUUUGGGCACGUC